RNAcentral lists this ribosomal RNA (662 nucleotides) under uncultured archaeon. RNAcentral's name for it is "bacterial SSU rRNA". It matches the Rfam family "Archaeal small subunit ribosomal RNA", at positions 325 to 988 of the family's 1478-position model. The record is from RNAcentral.
ACGGGGUGCAGCAGGCGCGAAAACUCCGCAAUACACGAAAGUGUGACGGGGGGACCCCAAGUGCUCUCGCGCAAGCGAGUGCUUUUGUGAAGUGUAAAUAGCUUUACGAAUAAGAGCUGGGUAAGACCGGUGCCAGCCGCCGCGGUAACACCGGCAGCUCGAGUGGUGAUCAUUAUUAUUGGGCCUAAAGCGUCCGUAGCCUGUUUGAUAAGUCCUUGGGCAAAUCCUGCCGCUUAACGGUAGGAAUUCUGAGGAUACUGUCAGACUUGAGGCCGAGAGAGGUCGGAGGUACUCCUGGGGUAGCGGUGAAAUGCUAUAAUCCUAGGGGGACCACCAGUGGCGAAAGCGUCCGACCAGAGCGGGCCUGACGGUAAGGGACGAAAGCCAGGGGCGCGAACGGGAUUAGAUACCCCGGUAGUCCUGGCCGUAAACGCUGUGGGCUAGGUGUUGCAUGCUCUACGAGGGCGUGCAGUGCCGAAGAGAAGUUGAUAAGCCUACCGCCUGGGAAGUACUAUCGCAAGAUAGAAACUUAAAGGAAUUGGCGGGGGAGCACCACAAGGGGUGAAGUCUGCGGUUUAAUUGGAUUCAACGCCGGANAUCUCACUGGAAGCGACGGCAGUAUGAUGGCCAAGCUGAUGACUUUGCUUGACGAGCCGAGAGGA